Molecule: ribosomal RNA, 1377 nt
Filed under: uncultured bacterium
Lineage: Bacteria
Description: partial 16S ribosomal RNA
Rfam family: Bacterial small subunit ribosomal RNA
Source: RNAcentral
GAUGAACGCUGGCGGCGUGCCUAAUACAUGCAAGUCGAACGAUGAGACCAGAAUCUUGCUUCUGUGAUGUGGCCGACGGACGGGUGAUUCACACGAGGAUGCCCUAUCUUGGCGACAUGAUAUAAGUUCGCGAACCCUGAUCCCACACCCGAUCAUCUUUUGAACCGCGUGGUUCAAAUCUGAAAGACAGAUUUGCCGUCACCUAUAGAUGCAUCCGCGCUGCAUUAGCUAUUUGCGUGAGGACACUCCUUACCUGGGCUACAAUGCAUAUCCCACCUGAUGGGAUGGUCAGCCGCACUGAGACCUGAAACGCGAGGCCACACUCCUACAAGGAUGCAUCAUGAACGAAUCUUCCGUCCUGGGAUGAAGCAUGACUGAACAACGCCUCGUGAGUGAAGAUCGUCUUCCGAGCGGAGGACUCUGUUAUUGAUGAAAAACAUAUGUAUUGGUAACUGUGCACUUCUAGACGGCGCCUAAUCAUAUGGCCACAGCUCUCGUUGUGCCAACCGCCGCGGUGAUACUUAGGUGGACUGCGUUCUCCGCACUUGUUGGGGGUAAAGCGCGCCUAAGCUGAUAUCCACGUGUGAUGUCAAGGACCACCGUUCAAUCGUGGAGUGUCAUUGUCAGCUGGAUAGCUGCACAGCACAAGAGGAAGGUGUAAUUCCCUGUGUAGCGCUGAGAUGCUCUACAUGAUGGAUGCACCUCCGUGGCGUAUGCUACUUUCUGGGUGCUACUGACGCUGAUGUGCGAAAGCGUGGGGAUCAAACAGGAUUAGAUACCCUGGUAGUCCACGCCGUAAACGAUGACUGCUAAGUGUUGGGGCGUUUCCGCCCCUUAUUGCUGCAGCUAACGCAUUAAUCACUCGCCCUGGGGAGUACGACCGCAAGGUUGAAACUCAAUGGAAUUGACGGGGACCCGCACCAACCGGUGGACCUUGUGGGUUAAUUUGGAGCAAAGCGAAAAACCCUUCCAAAUUUUGACAUCAUUGGACAACUCGCGAGGAAGAGAUAUUCCCUUCGGGGAACAAAGUGCCAGGUGGUGCAGGGUGGUCGUCAGCUCGGUUCGUGAGAUGUUGGGUAAAGUCCCGCACCGAGCGCAACCCUUAAGUUUAGUAGCCAUCAUUCAGUCGGGCACUCUAAGGAGACUGCCGGUGACAAACCGGAGGAAGGCGGGGAUGACGUCAAAUCAUCAUGCCCCUUACGACCUGGGCUACACACGUGCUACAAUGGACGGUACAAAGGGCAGCGACACCGCGAGGUCAAGCUAAUCUCAUAAAGCCGUUCUCAGUUCGGAUUGUAGUCUGCAACUCGACUCCAUGAAGUUGGAAUCGCUAGUAAUCGCAGAUCAGCAUGCUGCGGUGAAUACGUUCCCGGGCCU